This 864-nucleotide long non-coding RNA is filed under the name Triticum aestivum (bread wheat). RNAcentral's name for it is "long non-coding RNA (TAES_LNC017658)". The record is from RNAcentral. Lineage: Eukaryota; Viridiplantae; Streptophyta; Magnoliopsida; Poales; Poaceae.
CCCUCCUCGCAGGCCCCCGCCGGUUGUCCAUGGCGUCCACAGCCUUCGCCGUCUUCCUCUUCUGCAUGCCGCCUUCUUCUUCCUAUUCUGUCUGAAAUCAUUUGUUAUACUUGCUGCUUGUAAGUUAUCACAAUUGUUGCAUUCAUAUGUGUCGUGUGCUGUAAACUGUGUUGCGUGAUACGCUUUUUAUGCAUGACUCGGUGCUUUUAAUAAAGUAGGGAGUGUGUGCGCGCGAGCGUGUUGCUAUAGAUUAAUGCAUGAUGUGAUGAGAAAUGAGGGACUGUUAGUCCAUUAGUAGCUGUUGUGUCGAUCUCUCUUUUCUACCCCUAAAAAGGCCCUCUCUUCCAGUUUCAACUGAACAUUUGGCUUGAAGUUGCUGUAAAAAAGAAAGUGUUGUCAAAAAAGAACAUUUGGCUUGAAGCCUUCCAUGAGAGUUUGAGUUCUGAAAUGAAUAAGCAUGAAGCCAGCCAAGGAAAAUGUAUCCAUCUUACACAUAAUUAUCUGCCUCAUAACCGGCAUUUACAACAAAAACAAAAAUGUGUACUGAAUCAAAAAACCACAAUCAGAUAUAUGGAUGAGAACACUUUGGCUGAAGAGUGCACAGAAUGAUAGCACGAGAACUAUGGAGAGUGAGAUACAGUGGAUGCAAUUCAUAAAAUUGGUUUCGGUGAUCUGAACAUCAGUGAACAGCAAGUCAGCUAAAUGUCUUCAAGAAGAGUAGAAAAAACGCACCAACGAAUAAGGGGAAUGAGCACCAGUCUUCCACAUGGUUUUUGCAUCUUCAGUUUCCUCGGCCAAAGAUAAUGCAAAUUAUUUUUAGUACGGGCACAAAAACAUCAAAGUAGUCAAUUUCCUGUGCGNNNN